Molecule: ribosomal RNA, 500 nt
Filed under: uncultured bacterium
Lineage: Bacteria
Description: partial 16S ribosomal RNA
Rfam family: Bacterial small subunit ribosomal RNA
Source: RNAcentral
AUUGAACGCUGGCGGCAUGCCUUACACAUGCAAGUCGAACGGCAGCACGGGAGCAAUCCUGGUGGCGAGUGGCGAACGGGUGAGUAAAGUAUCGGAACGUGCCCAGUCGUGGGGGAUAACGUAGCGAAAGUUACGCUAAUACCGCAUACGAGCUAUGGAUGAAAGCGGGGGAUCUCAAGACCUCGCGCGAUUGGAGCGGACGAGAUCAGAUCAGGUAGUGGGUGGGAUACAGGCGCACCAAGCCGACGAUCUGUGGCUGGUCUGAGAGCACGACCAGCCACACUGAGACUGAGACACGGCCAAGACUCCUACGGGAGGCAGCAGUGGGGAAUUUUGGACAAUGGGCGAAAGCCUGAUCCUGCCAUGCCGCGUGCAGGAUGAAGGCCUUCGGGUUGUAAACUGCUUUUGUACGGAACGAAAAGGUUUGGGCUAAUAAGCUGAGCUCAUGACGGUACCGUAAGAAUAAGCACCGGCUAACUACGUGCCAGCAGCCGCCGCCG